This 560-nucleotide long non-coding RNA is filed under the name Daphnia pulicaria. Its description in RNAcentral is "uncharacterized LOC124350225". Lineage: Eukaryota; Metazoa; Arthropoda; Branchiopoda; Diplostraca; Daphniidae. The record is from RNAcentral.
AUUUGUAUGCCGGAGCUUCGUACUUGGGAGCGUAUUCGGCUGACCUGUAAGAAUCGGCGGCAGCGACAGCGAAAAGGGCGGCGAGGAUCAAGAACUAAUAAAAUAUGGAACAUUUGACGCCAUGUAAAAGAUAUAGGUCUACAACUCUCCAUGACGUCCAUGCCCAUCUCCACAUCCAACUCUUUCAUGUCGUCCAUGUGUUGCUUUCAUUGCCCGUUUUACUCACUACCUGGUGCGAAACAAAAUAAUGGGUCCUCAGGUCACCUCAGCGCAUGCACUUUCAUAGGCACUUUCAUGUCGAAUCGAUGACCACGAAGCGCUUCACGCUCAAAGCCAGCACAUUUUUCUGAAUUGUGUAUCCACAUUCUGAAUGCAGUUUUGGUCCAUUGUCGUCGUGUUUCCGUGAACUAAGUAAUCGAUUUUUUUAACUUUUGGGGUAUCUAUGUAGUUAUCGAUUUCUAUCUGCGUAUUGAACUUAUGGUGAUCCAAUCCAUCCCAAUCGGUUCCGGCCAUUCAAUUUCCGCAAGACAGAAAAAUUCCUUUUUAUUUUAAAACAGAAC